GUUAGUUGGUAUAGUGUUGAGGUUUUAAUGGGUGAAGGGUUAGUUGGUAUAGUGGUGAGGUUUUAAUGGGUGUAGGGUUAGUUGGUAUAGUGGUGAGGUUUUAAUGGGUGUAGGGUUAGUUGGUAUAGUGGUGAGGUUUUAAUGGGUGUAGGGUUAGUUGGUAUAGUGGUGAGGUUUUAAUGGGUGUUUAAUGGGUGUUUAAUGGGUUUAGGGUUAGUUGAUAUAGUGUUGAGGUUUUAAUGGGUGUAGGGUUAGUUGGUAUAGUGGUGAGGUUUUAAUGGGUGUUUAAUGGGUGUUUAAUGGGUUUAGGGUUAGUUGAUAUAGUGUUGAGGUUUUAAUGGGUGAAGGGUUAGUU
Long non-coding RNA from Oncorhynchus tshawytscha (Chinook salmon), 355 nucleotides. The record is from Ensembl. NCBI's taxonomy places the organism in Eukaryota, Metazoa, Chordata, Actinopteri, Salmoniformes, Salmonidae.